Non-coding RNA from Zootermopsis nevadensis, 1139 nucleotides. The record is from RefSeq and is a predicted model, not a curated record. NCBI's taxonomy places the organism in Eukaryota, Metazoa, Arthropoda, Insecta, Blattodea, Termopsidae.
UGUUUGUUUUGGUCUCAGAAACAGAAACAUUGCCUUCAGCCACUGAAAGACGAUCUAUUGCAUCCGAAUUAGUUGAAAGGGCAUUGUGUUCAUUCACGGUGAAGCUAGUGAAGUUUGAUGAACUAGAAUGUGAAGAAGUCGAGUAAAACCUGAUGUAUGCGAACAGAACAUCGUACUCAUAGGAACCAAUACAAACAUCAGUGUUAAAUCUGGGUGUAUUUGUAGCAAGUCAAAUGAAGGUACACAGCAAGCGAAGACUUAGACGUUGGAUAAGAUUCGGACCCACAUUUUUCUGCUAGCUGCUUUAGUAAGACAACUGCCACAUUUAUUUGUAUGGGCUUCCUACGUUACGUGGUUUUAUAUCUUUGCAGGUUGGGGUAAUCGACGCCGUCUCACUGGUAGUCUCAGACACCAGCGUCAGGAUCUCUCUUGAAUCUGGGCCGGAUUUCGCGUCCAAGAAAAUGCGUGCUUCUCACUUCGGAGACGUACACUGGUGUUUUAUUGAGUCCCUACCCAGGAAGAGCUGCUGUUUUAACUUGGGCGUGGGAAGCAAUGAUACUAGACGUGAAACUCAGCGGCCCGGACACGUCACCGGGAGCCCCGUGAUAGGUGCGCCGUGAGGUUGCUUCCAUCGACGUAGUGGGUCCCGUCGUAGUGCCGGAACUUGUGGCUGUAGGCCUGAGUAUAGUACCCACCGUGACAUCCAUAUCCGCUAUGGGGGACUUGGGCACGAAGGGAGUUCCUCCGAUCAAGUGGUCACCCACCCACUACCCCGGUGCACUCCGCGACAUCGUCGGUAAGGCCAUAAGUGAAACGUAGUUACUAUUGUCGCAGUCUAAGAACAUUUUUCGAAUGCCCGAAGAUGUAGCGUUAAAUAUUUUUGAGAGAUAAUUGUGUUGUUAACGCCGGGGAUUUGCAUUAUCGUGGUAUAUUUCUUCGUAACAUUUCUGUAUUCUUCUGAAGCGCCUAAUGGAGACAAUGAAAACAAUAUGAGGAGAAGUUAAGAACCCGGUACCUCAUGAUUAUAAUUUCGUUGCUACAUCGAACUUGCAGACUGGUGUCAGAGUGAAAUGGCUAAUCGCAAAAGCACAGAUAACCAAUUACGGUAGCCAGAACUAAUACACUGAUUCGUCAUUUGU